GCCUGGCUGGCUCAGUUGGUGGAACAUGUGACUCCUGAUCUCAGGGUUGUGGGUUUGAGCCCCACGUUGGGAG
RNAcentral lists this transfer RNA (73 nucleotides) under Ailuropoda melanoleuca (giant panda). It matches the Rfam family "tRNA". From Rfam's summary of the family: Transfer RNA (tRNA) molecules are approximately 80 nucleotides in length. Their secondary structure includes four short double-helical elements and three loops (D, anti-codon, and T loops). Lineage: Eukaryota; Metazoa; Chordata; Mammalia; Carnivora; Ursidae. The record is from Rfam by way of RNAcentral.